GGCUCCCUAGCUCAGUGGUUAAAGAAGUAGUCUUGUAAACCAAAGGGUUGCAAGUUCAAUUCUCAUGGGAGCUU
This is a non-coding RNA of Pangasianodon gigas (Mekong giant catfish), 74 nucleotides long. NCBI's taxonomy places the organism in Eukaryota, Metazoa, Chordata, Actinopteri, Siluriformes, Pangasiidae. The record is from the annotation of a GenBank genome assembly.